GAUGAAUGCUGGCGUGCGUGCCUAACACAUGCAAGUCGAGCGGCAGCGAGUUUUACACUGAAUUCUGGAAGCUUCUGGGUAAUAUAGAAGAUCUAUUCAAGAAUUUUGUGUAAAAUGUCGGCGAGCGGCGGACGGCUGAGUAACGCGUAGGAAUUUGCCCCAAAGUGAGGAAUAACUGCCCGAAAGGGUAGCUAAUGCCGCAUAUGGUCUUCGGAUUAAAGCCUUCGGGCGCUUUGGGAGAAGCCUGCGUUGGAUUAGGUAGUUGGUAGGGUAAUGGCCUACCAAGCCGACGAUCCAUAGCUGGUCUGAGAGGAUGAUCAGCCAGACUGGAACUGAGACACGGUCCACACUCCUACGGGAGGCAGCAGUGAGGAAUCUUCCACAAUGGGCGAAAGCCUGAUGGAGCAACGCCGCGUGAAGGAUGAAGGCCUUCGGGUUGUAAACUUCUUUUAUGAGUGAAGAAUAUGACGGUAACUCAUGAAUAAGCUCCGGCUAACUACGUGCCAGCAGCCGCGGUCAUACGUAGGGUGCAAGCAUUAUCCGGAGUGACUGGGCGUAAAGAGUUGCGUAGGCGGUUUAAUAGUGAAUAGUGAAACCUGGUGGCUCAACCACACAGACUAUUAUUCAAACUGUUAAACUCGAGAAUGGUAGAGGUAACUGGAAUUUCUAGUGUAGGAGUGAAAUCCGUAGAUAUUAGAAGGAACACCGAUGGCGUAGGCAGGUUACUGGGCCAUUUCUGACGCUAAGGCACGAAAGCGUGGGGAGCGAACCGGAUUAGAUACCCGGGUAGUCCACGCCGUAAACGAUGGAUACUAGCUGUUGGAGGUAUCGACCCCUUCAGUAGCGAAGCUAACGCGUUAAGUAUCCCGCCUGUGGAGUACGGCCGCAAGGCUAAAACAUAAAGGAAUUGACGGGGACCCGCACAAGCGGUGGAUUAUGUUCUUUAAUUCGAUGAUAACCGAAGAACCUUACCAGGGCUUGACAUCCAGGGAAGGUCUGCGAAAGUAGACUGUGCCUUUUGGAACCCUGUGACAGGUGAUGCAUGGCCGUCGUCAGCUCGUGUCGUGAGAUGUUAGGUUAAGUCCUUCAACGAGCGCAACCCUUGUGAAUAGUUGUAUUUUUCUAUUCAGACUGCCCCGGUAACGGGGAGGAAGGAGGGGAUGAUGUCAGGUCAGUAUUUCCCUUACGUCCUGGGCUAGAAACGUAAUACAAUGGCUAGUACAAUGCGCAGCGAAGCCGCGAGGUGAAGCAAAUCGCAUCAAAGCUAGUCCCAGUUCGGAUUGUAGGCUGAAACUCGCCUGCAUGAAGUCGGAAUCGCUAGUAAUCGCAAAUCAGCAAGUUGCGGUGAAUACGUUCCCGGGUCU
Molecule: ribosomal RNA, 1364 nt
Filed under: uncultured bacterium
Lineage: Bacteria
Description: bacterial SSU rRNA
Rfam family: Bacterial small subunit ribosomal RNA
Source: RNAcentral